This 72-nucleotide transfer RNA is filed under the name Pyrolobus fumarii 1A. RNAcentral's name for it is "tRNA-Und (NNN) (tRNA-Und-NNN-1-1)". The record is from RNAcentral. Lineage: Archaea; Thermoproteati; Thermoproteota; Thermoprotei; Desulfurococcales; Pyrodictiaceae.
GAAGAGGCUCAACCGACCUGCUAAGCCGGUGGGGGCAACCCCGCGCGGGUUCAAAUCCCGCCCCCGGCGCCA